AACGAACGCUGGCGGCAUGCCUAACACAUGCAAGUCGAACGAGACCUUCGGGUCUAGUGGCGCACGGGUGCGUAACGCGUGGGAACCUGCCCUUAGGUUCGGAAUAACUCCCCGAAAGGGGUGCUGAUACCGGAUAAUGUCUUCGGACCAAGGAUUUAUCGCCUUUGGAUGGGCCCGCGUUGGAUUAGCUAGUUGGUAGGGUAAAAGCCUACCAAGGCGACGAUCCAUAGCUGGUCUGAGAGGAUGAUCAGCCACACUGGGACUGAGACACGGCCCAGACUCCUACGGGAGGCAGCAGUGGGGAAUAUUGGACAAUGGGCGAAAGCCUGAUCCAGCAAUGCCGCGUGAGUGAUGAAGGCCUUAGGGUUGUAAAGCUCUUUUACCCGGGAUGAUAAUGACAGUACCGGGAGAAUAAGCUCCGGCUAACUCCGUG
RNAcentral lists this ribosomal RNA (433 nucleotides) under uncultured bacterium. RNAcentral describes it as "partial 16S ribosomal RNA". It matches the Rfam family "Bacterial small subunit ribosomal RNA", at positions 29 to 507 of the family's 1533-position model. The record is from RNAcentral.